Molecule: long non-coding RNA, 1014 nt
Filed under: Dromaius novaehollandiae (emu)
Lineage: Eukaryota; Metazoa; Chordata; Aves; Casuariiformes; Dromaiidae
Description: lncRNA (ENSDNVG00000015490.1)
Source: RNAcentral
UCGGGUCCGACCUCGGCUCGCGAGGGACGGCGGCCUCCCAGGGCGCCCUGGACCCGCCGGCACCGGCUCUGCCCGGGGCGAGACCGGACCGAGGACUGAUCCCACCGGUGCUGCGAACGGCCGGGACAGGGGCUGCUGCCGGAGGAGCCCGCGGCCGCCCGGCUGGGCGGGGGCUCGGCGCUGCCAGGGCUAUAAGCGAUACGUGCUGAGCUCGAGCGGCUCCGAUUUCCCCGCAGCGCAGGGAUGAUGGUGCAGUUUCAGCGAGGCUGCCUGACCUCUCCGGCGGGAGCAGAGCCUCGCGGGGGCAGCCGGGCCGGCGCCGGGGACGCGGUGCCCUUCCCAGCCCCGGGACRGAGGCCUCGUGGUUUGGGGACGAGCCCGGCUCGCGGCCUGGAAGAUGAGCGCGGUGCACGACGUGCGGACCGAGGCGCGGGAGCGGCCCAGCCGGCGGACGGUGGACCAGCUGAGCCCGGAGCUCCGCGUGGAGAAGUACAUCCUGCUGAGCAUGGACGGGAAGCUGCUGGGCCCGGAGCUGAGCCGGAUCCGGAGCGAGAUGGCCCUGCCCCUGGAGCGCCUGGAUGCUGACCUGCCCCAGGACCUGCCCCCCGGCUACCUCUGGCGCCAGCGCCGCUCCCUGCCGACCUUCCCCCUCGCCCCCGGGAGCGGCGCCCAGACCCCCGCGGACCUCAGGAGGAGCUCGGACUUGCUCUGCGCCGGCCAGUUCCCCACGGGGCUCAGCGACCUGGUGACGGGGAUGCAGGCCCCUGCCUCGCCGUGUGCCAGGAGCCGUGGCAGCCYGCGGGCUCGGCCCCGCUCCGCCCUGGCAGCCCAGGCUUCGGAGGCCGYGGGCCAGGGCUGCCGGGAGCGGACGGCCCCGGGGCGGGAAGGUGGCCAGGAGUGAGGGGAGCCGGGACCCCAGCCAGCUCCCCCCGCCCGGAGUAGGGGCGGCGCUGGCAGCACAGCGGGGCUGUAACGGGAGGAUGGUGCGAAAUAAAGACCCUGGAUGUAACCCCA